RNAcentral lists this ribosomal RNA (650 nucleotides) under uncultured bacterium. RNAcentral's name for it is "bacterial SSU rRNA". It matches the Rfam family "Bacterial small subunit ribosomal RNA", at positions 66 to 712 of the family's 1533-position model. The record is from RNAcentral.
GGGAGGCGGUGGUGCUUGCCUAUGCUGACGACCGGCGCACGGGUGCGUAACGCGUAUAGAACCUACCUUAUAUUGGGGGAUAGCCCAGAGAAAUUUGGAUUAAUACCCCAUAGUAUUAAGAGAUGGCAUCAUUUUUUAAUUAAAGAUUUAUCGAUAUAAGAUGGCUAUGCGUCCUAUUAGCUAGUUGGUAUGGUAACGGCAUACCAAGGCGACGAUAGGUAGGGGUCCUGAGAGGGAGAUCCCCCACACUGGUACUGAGACACGGACCAGACUCCUACGGGAGGCAGCAGUGAGGAAUAUUGGACAAUGGAGGCAACUCUGAUCCAGCCAUGCCGCGUGUAGGAAGACUGCCCUAUGGGCUGUAAACUACUUUUAUAUAGGAAGAAACCGCUCUACGUGUAGAGCUCUGACGGUACUAUAAGAAUAAGCAUCGGCUAACUCCGUGCCAGCAGCCGCGGUAAUACGGAGGAUGCAAGCGUUAUCCGGAAUCAUUGGGUUUAAAGGGUCCGUGGGCGGGUUUGUAAGUCAGUGGUGAAAGUUUGCGGCUCAACCGUAAAAUUGCCAUUGAUACUGCAAGUCUUGAAUCAUUGUGAAGUGGUUAGAAUAUGUAGUGUAGCGGUGAAAUGCAUAGAUAUCACAUAGAAUACCGA